GAACAAUGGAAUUUGGAGAAGGAAUGGUCCAGAUCUGCUGAAAUUUAAAGGUGAGAGUUUAGAUUUGACAUCGAAUGUUUUGGCAUGAUGAAGAUUGAAUUUGCGUCACCGUUGGUUGCAAGUGGAAAAUGGGCUUUGUAUUUCAUGCGAUAAGUUCGGACACAAGCAAAGGGUAUAUAAAAAAUUUCUUACCUGACACUUGGUGUAUCGGUCAUCCCAUUAAUCCAUAAACCAAGCUAAUUGAGAAGGAAAAUAAAAACAGUUUAAAAAAAAUGUUACUAGUAUUUUAUUGUAUGGUUAGAAAUACUUUGGUUUAAACCAAAAUAUUGUUUAUAAUUGGUUUUCAGUAUAAGCAAACUCAUAACGUAACCAGUUUAA
This 378-nucleotide long non-coding RNA is filed under the name Jatropha curcas. Its description in RNAcentral is "long non-coding RNA (JCUR_LNC002107)". The record is from RNAcentral. Lineage: Eukaryota; Viridiplantae; Streptophyta; Magnoliopsida; Malpighiales; Euphorbiaceae.